Molecule: ribosomal RNA, 200 nt
Filed under: uncultured bacterium
Lineage: Bacteria
Description: partial 16S ribosomal RNA
Rfam family: Bacterial small subunit ribosomal RNA
Source: RNAcentral
ACGCUCGACACCUAUGGAGGCAGCAGUCGGGAAUAUUGCGCAAUGGAGGAAACUCUGACGCAGUGACGCCGCGUGCAGGAAGAAGGUUUUCGGAUUGUAAACUGCUUUAGACAGGGAAGAAAGAAAUGACAGUACCUGUAGAAUAAGCUCCGGCUAACUACGUGCUAGCAGCCGCAGUAAUCUGAGCGGGCUGGCAAGGC